This 374-nucleotide ribosomal RNA is filed under the name uncultured organism. RNAcentral's name for it is "partial 16S ribosomal RNA". It matches the Rfam family "Bacterial small subunit ribosomal RNA", at positions 527 to 896 of the family's 1533-position model. The record is from RNAcentral.
GUAGGUGGCAAGCGUUGUCCGGAAUUAUUGGGCGUAAAGCGCGCGCAGGCGGUUCUUUAAGUCUGAUGUGAAAGCCCACGGCUCAACCGUGGAGGGUCAUUGGAAACUGGAGAACUUGAGUACAGAAGAGGAAAGCGGAAUUCCACGUGUAGCGGUGAAAUGCGUAGAGAUGUGGAGGAACACCAGUGGCGAAGGCGGCUUUCUGGUCUGUAACCGACGCUGAGGCGCGAAAGCGUGGGGAGCAAACAGGGAUUAGAUACCCUGGUAGUCCACGCCGUAAACGAUGAGUGCUAAGUGUUAGGGGGGUUUCCGCCCCCUUAGUGCUGCAGCUAACGCAUUAAGCACUCCGCCUGGGGAGUACGGCCGCAAGGCUG